AGAACAAAAAAAACAAUGAUAAUGUUUUGGCACAAAAGUUAUAUUCACAGUGAGAAUAAAAAUUGUCCCAAACCUGGUCUAGGGCAGAACUUUUUUGCAUGAUAUAAUUCACAACCUCCUCUGGGAUGUAAUUGGUGUUGCUGUUAAAAUGCUUGAGCGAUUUCCUGAUAGACCUAAAUAAGAUUAAGGACUUCUGGGAAGCCAGGGUUACCCACCCAGCUGACUGGCCAGCCUAAUAAUCUUUAACCAGACAUGAUUUUUUCUUGUAUCCAGUUUAACAAUGAUUAACCAUUCACUUUUUUUAUAGAAUCCCUAAAGAGAAUAUUGAAUCGGCACACUUAAAGGUUUCAUCCCUUGUGGCCAGCUUGAAACAAAAUUUUGGCCCAAACUUAUAAUCCAUUUGUCUAAGAAGGUGUUUUAACAACAUUUAGGAAGAAAUAUUGUAAAUUUUUUUACUACGUUGUGUGGGUAAGAAAUUUCAUUGAAAGGUAUUGAAUGUAUAUACAAGAGUCCUUAAGUAUAUGGAAAAUUGGUUUCUUUGAAAGCUGUGGGCACUUUGACUAAUGGAGAGAAAUUUCUUCUUUGGAUAACAUAAUUCAAACUUAGCUGUUGUCAUGCAGUAAAAGAUCUUCCUUCAGAUUCUUUCUAUGAGCAAACUGGUGCCUUGACCAUGGGAUCCAAGUGCCCUGAGGAAACAACAUCUCUUCAUAGGUGGAAACAGGAUUAACAUCAUGAUUUAAUUAUUAUACCAAAUACAUCAUGGAUAAUCUAUGGCCUUUAAUAAACCUAACAGUUAAAGGCUGAACUGGUAAGAAAUGAACUUCAUUUCUGCAUUUAAAAAAUACAUUUAAUCCAAUGGGAAAUAAAAAUGAAUGCUGGGAUAAAAAUUUAAACUUGAUCGUAAAUAAAUAAAAAUUGAAUGAAAUAUAAUAAAAGAAUAGGUUGUGUAUUUUAUGUAUUGUGUAUUAAUAUAUAUUUUAGAAAAUUAUUUUUUAUCAUGUCUGUACAACAACUUUGUUGACAUUAUCUGGAAACUGUUUUAGUUACCAAGGAAAGAUAAAUGAGCCUUUAAAUGUACAUAAUACCAUAGAGUGAAACCCAUAUUCCUAUACCUUUUGGGAUGCUAGAUUGUGCCAAAUGGCUCAAGGUGGCUCUAAAUUAGGCUCUAAAUUAGACCUCAAGGUUUGAGCAGAGCCACCAAUGACGGGUUGGGCCUCACCCUAUCCAAGGGUUGACCGGCUAGUAGUUUUCACACAGGAUUUAUGUUAAUAAGCAAAAUAGCAGACCAGCCCGGGUAAAUUAUACUGGCUUAUCUGCUUUCAUCAGCCCUGAGUCUACACCAAAAGAGAAUGAACUCUUGUAUUAAGGAAAUUGCAUAACUAUUUCACAGAAUUUUUAGACAGAUUAAAAGCAAUGAUGUAUAUAAUAUACUUAGCACAAUGUUCAGUGGAAACAGGAGGUACUUAAUAUUUAUUAUUUUUAAUAUAUUAAAUUGUUAAUAAGUGUAUUAGAUUAUUAUUUAAUAGACUAAAUUAAUCGUAUUUAUUAGCUCCUUCUCUCUCCCAAAGUCAAGAUUCACAUGUACGCAGGGUCAGGGACUGUCAGUGAGGAAAGCAUGAUAUAACCAAAAGAAUUAUGUCUGAAUAGUGCUUUAUACACUACAAAAUGCUUUAAUAUGCAUUAUUACACUUGGACCUUAGCUCACCAGCAACCACCCAAAGUGCUCUGUGUGACAAAAGUAAGUACAUGCAGUUUAUGGGUCACUGGGAACCUGGUAAAGAAGGAUGUUAUAUUGUAGCCACACUCCUAGAGGAGGUCUGAUGUCUGAGGGCUCUGACUCUCAGGUAACACCCACAGUCCAGGCCUCACCCCACGUCUCACAGUCACAAGACUCCAAUCUGGGCAAACAAGUGGAGGGAUUUCGGGAACAGCAGACUUCCAGCGCUAAAACUGGGAAAGUCUCUAGCAAACCAUGAUGGUCAGUCACCCUAAGUCUAAGAGAAAUCAACACCAACCCCCACAGGCCGAGAGUGCAAGAAAGGUAGCUAUCAGAGCUGUAGGAAACGUGCUGCUUAGCACACGCUGUAGGGCACCAAGGUUUCAUGGUGUGAGAACCUUACAUGUUGUUUGAUCUGGGAACACAGCUUCUCAAAGCUCUCAGCUUCCCAAGUGAAGACAGGAACGGGUUACAAAGCAUUUCUCACCAAAGCCCUGUCAGGGGUUCAGUGUUGGUGCCCUUCGCCCUCUAUGGUUCAGUCAUACUCUCCGAAACUUGUAGGUGUGUCCCCGCCUGCACUGGGUGACCACCCACCUCAGGUUUCCCUUCCCAGAAGCAGAUGUCUGUAGGAGGGCCAAGCAGCUUCGCUAUAGCAACUUUACAGCUGUGGCAAGAAACUGUCACAAUGUAAAGUAGAGGGCACCAUCUCCAAGCCUCUCCUUUAGAAAAGUCUAAAAACUCCCACUUGACACAGAAUUAAAGAACUUUAGGGGUGCCUGGUGACUCAGUAGGUUGAGCAUCUGACUCUCGAUUUCAGCUCAGGUCAUGAUCCCAGGGUCACGGGAUCAGGCCCCGCCUCAGGCUCCACACUGAACAUGCAGCCUACUUAGAAGUCUCUCUCUCUCUCUUUCCCUCUGCCCCUCUCCCACCCUCCUCUAAAAUUUAAAACAAAAAAAAAACAAAAAAACUUUAGGCCCUAAAAAAUCAUGACAUCUUUUGCUUUCAGUUUUGUUCCUCACCCCUGCAUUAGUUUCAGAGCCUGAUUCUGGAGCUCACAGCACAUUGCUCUGCCGAUUUUGGAUCUAGUGUAUAGGAGUUCACUGAAUUAUCUCCAGAAGAAAUGCUGAGUCAUAAGGCUGUGCAAGCUCAGAAGAGGCUAUAUUUAGGUGGGUAUCUUGCCAUCCAACUCAGCAACGUCUCAGUUCCCAUCCAGAGAAUCUGUUCCUCUCUCCAAAGAUCAAAACUCUGCUUUUUCAAAUUCUCCACAAGUGUGUGUGUGUGUGUGUGUGUGUGUGUGUGUGUGUGUGUGUGUUUGUAUUAAGGUGGGAGAAGAGGGAGAAAAUCCUCUAUGGCUUCCAACACUUAUCAGACAUGUCUCAUAAAGAAGGUGAGUCUCUAGUGAAAGAGAGGAGAGGAGUUUGGCUUGUGGUUUGAUACCCAUCCCCGAAAGGAAUACAGCUGAAAUGGGGUGUCAAACAAAACUGCAGUUUUGCCAUCAAUGCAGCUAUCAUGGCAGCAGCUUCCACAAGAUCAAGAUGUUGGAGGCUGAAGGGCUCUGAGACAAAUCUGUAAGCCAGAGAGCCAGGGAGUAAGGCUGUAGGGAAUCCUCUACUUACCAUAUUAUUGAAAUAGUUUAGAAAAAGAAAAAAAUCUUUCAUAGAAAAACAUGGCUAUAUAAGCUUCUAAGAGGCUUCAAAGACGUGCCACUCACUGCAUCAAAAUAUCCUUAUCAUUUAAGGAGGCAACCUCAAGCUGAAGAUCAAUUACUAGAUGUGCCGGAUAUCUUCAGCAUCAGCCCUCCAGAUGCUCUUUCCAGCCUCCUGAUCUGCUCCUUCCCAAGACAGGCCGACCUGUACUUUGCAUCAUCUCAGGUCCCAUCCCCUGCCUUCUGGUUGGAUUCCACUAAUGGGAGGUAGUAGCAAGAGGUAGGUAGGAGACGUGAGGAUGGGAGCAGAAUGAAGCAGAGUGAGGUCAGAGGUCCCUCCCUGUAUGACCAAGGCUUGGCAGUAGCUCCUUCCCUCUGGAAAGGGCCACACAGCCCCCAUUAUACUAUAGCUACAGCUCUCGCUCUCUCUCUCAGGGCUCUGGUAGCUUUUCCCUUCUCUAUCCCUUUAAGCCAAUGGCUGGUAAGGAUCCCCACUGUUACUAGCCCUGGGGAGACUUUACCAUCCUUUGUUGGUUUCCCUUGAACCUAUCUACACCCUUGUAAGUAGCCUCUUGGUUAAACUCCCUGAAUAAGGCCCAAUCAAGUAUGCCUUCUGUUUCUUGUUGGGACCUUGACUGAUCCCUUCAGCAUAUCAAGGGUCUCCUUGGGGUGAUGCAGUAAAGUACAAAGGCCAAUGGGGAGUAAGUUAGAGACAAUGCAGAGGUAAAGCUCGUCCUUUUUCCCACUUUCACCUAUCAGCGAAAGAAUGCAUACAUUUAAGGGAGAAUGGUAAUAAACAAGGGCUAUAAGGAAUCCUUCUGAGAUUUUGUCCCAGGUCGUAAGUUCCUGGCCUUAAUGAUCUCUGGAUGAAAUGAUCCAGAGAGCUUUCUUCGUGCUCAUCAGAGUACAAGUGGUUCUUGCAUAAGUCAUCAUUUUGCUGACACUAAGAAAGCUAGGUAACUGUCUCUUUUCCAACAGAGGAAUACAUCUGAGUUUCUCUAGUGGUCCUAAACAAAACUAAGUGGGGACAUCCAGACAAACUGAGAAGGCUGAACCAUUUGGGGAAAAAAAUGAGAUGUUCAGGAUCUGUGGAGAGUCAGAGUUCCACAUAGGAGGUCAUCAUGGCCAGAAGAUGAUUGUUGUAUGAAAGAAGAUGUUGAAUCUAGGACAUGGGACGAAAACAAAACACCAGCCCAAAGGAGGAAGGACAAGGAACACACAGUGGACUCCUGAGACCUGGGGAGCAAGGAGUUAUGGCAGGCAGGCCCGGAGCAAGCAGCAGAGAUCCUUACUAGAGGCAACUGGUGGGAUGGAUAUAGGCACAUGGUCAACAUUAUAGAAGGGUCAGCAGCUGAUGUCAUUUUCCAGUCCGUGGAAAACAAGUGAAAAAUGACUAAGCUCAUCCUAGUAGAGCCAACAAAGAAGACCCACUCAGAGAGGGCAUGGGGCUCCUUACUGACCCCACAAUUAAGGCCCACAUUAGAUCCGCCUUUCUGAAUAAGGAAAGCCCAUCAGUGCAGGUUAGGAGCCCACGGGCCAGAAACAGAGGAACAGAAAUAAAGCAAACAUUGCAACUAAACUGAUUUAUUAUAAAUAAAGCUGGUGUCGAAAUGCAUUCUUCUACUAAGAUAAAAAGCCAUACAAUGAGAGCUCUUCAGGCAGCUCCUUCACAAAAAGGAAUAGCAUCCUCAUCUUGCUAUCAGCAUUUGUUUAAGUAAAACUACAUAAAGCCCAACAUUCCUCCAAAUAUCAAAGAUCAAAGAUCAAAAGAAAGGAGUGAGUCCCUGUUAGAAACUUGACUGAGUAUUUUCUGUGCAACUUACAGGUGAAAAAGCAAGCUUUUGAGUUCAUCUUUUCUUCCUUAUGUCAAAUAGCUCUUCCAUUGUCCCUCCCAAAUUCACAAUUGAGUCUAGUUAGGAUGGUGAUUAGCAAGCACCUAAAGUUGAAGCAGUGAGCAGUUAAAGAAAAUACACAUAAAAUGGGAAUGAAGCACACAGUAAGUCAGAAGUAUUCACUAAUUGAAGAUGGAGGACAACAUACACUCCUUAAUGAGGCAUGAAUUGUAGUCAUGUUGGAAACGAAGAGCAAGAGGGAGAGAAAGGCUGGAAGGCUCUCACUCCUUAAAGUGAAAGGAAAUUUGGGAAUUCGAUCUUUCUUAGAAGGCUGACCUUGACCAUCACAGUUACAUCAUCAGAAUUUGAAAACAUAUUAAUAUGGAACCUAUUAUAUAUAGAGUCUGUAGUAACACAAAGAUAGUACUUUUCUUGGCCAAAAAACAAUUCUUUUCCCAUGUUGCAUAAAAGAUCCUCUUUCCUGGAAUUAUUAAUUUAAACAUAUAUACGUUAGAUAUAUAUCAUAUAUAAUGAUGCAUGAUAAUUAUAUAUACAUGUGAUAUAUAAUAAUAUAUACAUGUAUGUGUUUAUAUAUAACUAUAUAACAUGAAUCAAUGUAUAGUAUCUAUACAGUUAUAUAUACAUUUAUAAUAUAUAAAAUGAAUGUCCAUACAGCUGUAUUUCUAUGUAUAGAUACCACCCAUUUUAUUCCUCCAUUCAUUGAAGAGUAACCGGUUAUCAUGUUCAAGGCCCUGUGUCUGAUGAUAAGGCAGAGGUGCAUAAGAUGUCUUCUUUAUCACAACUUAGUGGGAGAAGCUGACUGAUACUAUAUAUCGAAUUAAAAUACAAUAUGACAAAUGCCAUCAGAGAACAAUAUAAUUAAUAGUUGCCCAGUGUUCAUUUAGUACCUUGUAUAUACAAUUAUUAAAAUCCAUAAUACAUUAGUCUGUCUGGAAUUAUUACAUGUGCCCCCAUAAUCUCUCCCCCAGCUUCUCAAAGAGGAUCUGUGGAAUCUUUUCAUCUGGACCACAAUACUUAUCACAGUGCCUAGCAAGUGUUUGGUGUUUUAAUGAGGAUUAAAUAGAUAAUUCUAUGAAAGUUCUCUGAAAAAUAUAAAAUGUGACACACAUACAGACAGCCAUAAUUGUUUAUUCCGUGGAGUUAAAAAUAGAAAAACCCAUUUAAAAUAACCCCUUUAAAAGAUAAAAGAAUGCCACUAUUUUUCUUUACUAAUUAGAACAUUGAGAAGAAGGUAGAUAGUAUAUUAACACGUCCAGGCAAAAUACACUGAAAAGGACCAAAGUCUACUGGAGACCUAGUGGUCAGAUUCUACAUGUUUAUUUCCUGGAAAAUUGUGAAAUUUUCAUCAUCCUAAUAAUUGUGUUGUGACUUAAAAAAUUAAAGAAAUCACCACAUUCCAGCUUGUUUAGUAUUUCCACAGUGGAAAUAAAUGAUAAUACAGGUUUUACUGAGAGUUUCCAUUUGUUGAACACAGCGGGUAAGUUGGUGGCAGCUGAGCUCUGUCGAUGAGAAAUCAAUUUGGGUUAGACUGAUAAGGAAAUUAAACCGCUGUAGUGUAUCAGAAUGUGGUAACGUACCUUUAAAUCUUGGCCUUCGUGAUUUAUUGAAAAGAAGGAAGUGACUUAUUGGAAAGGAGGAAGUAAAGAAGAAGACAGCAGUGAGAGGAGUUAAUGAUGAUGAAAGAUGGAAGACAUGGUCGUGAAACCAGCCGGUUCCUUCCUUCAGUUUUUGCACCUGUGUUUUAUUGCACUUAAAGGGAGAACACCAAGGUUUGUUUUGUCUUAUUUUUUCUCUUCUUUAGGCAUGGGGGAAAAACUAGGGAAAGAAUGAUGGUAAGAUAGAAAUAAGAAGAGAGAGUUGUGAGUAAAAAUGAAAGAAUUAAUGAAGAGCAAAGACACAGACACCUGAGAACUUAAAAAAAAAAAAAAAGGAAGGAAAAAAGAAAAUGGGGCAGAAAACAGGCAGAAUUGGUCCUUUUGUGUAAAGUACCUUUUGCCCCAAAUCACAGGACAAAUACCUUGAUAAUGGUUUAAUACUAUGGUUUUCCUUCUACUACAUUAUGUCCAUCAUUCUACUUCCUGUUCUAAAAUGCUAAACACCAAGCACCAUCAUUCCCUCCUUCCUCCUCUAACCUUUAGUGUUUUCACAGUUUUCUUUAGGCAAGAAUUUCAAGACCAGAUAUCUUCAAGUUUGGAGCAAAUGGGUGGGAUUAUUUUUUCCAGAACAAGAACAAGCAAUUCCAUGUAGGAAAACAGAUGAUCAAAAAUUAAGAGUGGUCUGAACUGUUGGAGUCCCAGACACUCUGAGAUUUUAGAAAUGGCUGACUCAUAGGCAUCACCCCUAAAACUGGGAUAAAUAUCUCUGCAGGUUACAGAGUCAUAAAAAUGCAAUGAGUUAAUGUUCCUAAAGCCACCAGGGACAAGGCACAUAGCAAGAGGUCAGCAGUUGUAUUUUGAAUGAAGAUUUGUGCUUGAAUUGUUUUAAUAACUGAAGCAUUAAAAACUUAAAUUCUGUGGGGCGCCUGGCUGGCUCAGCCAGUGACUCUUGAUCUCAGGAUCAUGAGUUUGAGCCUCCUGGUGGGUGUAGAGAUUAUAAAUAAAUAGACUUUUGAUUAUAAAUCAACUUUUUUUUAAACUUAAAUUUUGUUUAAUUUGGGGAAAUGCUUAUUCUUUUUUUUAACCUUCUUAUUCUUUAAAACCUUUGAGAUGUGAAAUCCACAAAACCAAAGCUAUUCCAAUAGAGAUGUUCAAAAGAGUACUGAGAACGUCCCUCCUAAUGAAAACCUGAUCCAAGAUAUCCCCCUUUUUCAAAGGAAAAUCUGACCUUGCGCUCUUUUCUAGCAUCGUGACCUUAUAAUAUUUCCUGUCAAGAAAGAUCUCCAACCUUCUACUUUGUAACAUUCAUUUAAACAGCACAAGGCAUGAAGGCAUCUGUCCAACUUUCUCCUUCAGCCUUUUUCUUUCAGGCUUCCGAUAAGGAGAUAAAAUGGAGAUAGAGUAGGUAAAUGCUUGUACAUCUAGCUGUCUUGAUAGUGAAGUAUUGUAGAAAUAAAUUCACGAUGGCAAUUUCCUCAAAGGGUCAAAAAUGAGCCAAGUAAUUUAAUUUUAAAAGUGACUUUAAGACAGGAAAUCAGGAGUUGGUUUGUGAGUAACCCUGGGAAGGCUGAGGAUUGCGGUGAAGGCACAGAUCCUGCACCACCCCAAACUUAGUGAGGUCAAGCCUCGCAAAGGAAAGCUCGUAAGCCCUUUGUAGCACAAUAUCUUACUUUCAGGCCUCUGCCUGUCAGUCCUCUGCUCUGGUUAAUAUCAUCAAGGGAAUCCUUGCCUGACAGAAUGUAAUUUAGGAUCUAUUAAAUAUGAUUACUUGGCCUUGAAAAUGAUGGAUAUUGGACAGAAUUAUAGAAUCACUUUACAAAAGAAAGGUCUCUUUUACAUCCUUUCUUGUGGAGCCUAAAAUGAAGCCUGGGGAAAUCCCUCAGAGGGGUUGUGGCAUUUAUAGGUUAGGUUUAUGAAAAAGGGAAUUGAUAUUCAUAUUAAAAACUGUGAAAAUUGAGCAAGGUGAAGAUAGUGAGCAUGCAGACAGCUGUGACGUGUGUCUGAAGGGUGAGUGGCUUGUUGCCCAACUGAUUUACUUGCUUUAAUUAUAUUAGUAAUGUGAAAGUCGACAUGAUUCGAAACAAGCUCUUUGGGUUUUUCAUUCAAAUACUAGCCCCCAGUGACUGCUUUUUAUGGUCCUCCCAAUUUCCAAUUACUUAAAAUGUUCAUAGCUGAAAUACUUCAGAGUUCACUGCUGGGUUUGCUUUGGAGGUGGCCUCGGUUUGGGUUUUGAUUUAAUUACAUUUUGUUCCUGGUUAUAAAAGUAAUAUAUGGUCAUUGGAAAAACUACAAAACAUAAAAAAUUGCAAAGAAGAAAUUAAAAUCACUAAUAAUUCUGCCACCCAGAGAUUGUCAUUAACAUUUUCUGUAUACCUACUAGGAUUUAUAUAUAUAUAUAACAUAAUUAUAUAUAUAAUUUUUAUUACUUAAUUGAUGUAAUAUCAUAAUAUUGUUUACUAAAGUUGUUUUAACUUAAUACUGUAGUGUGACCAUACCCCCAUAUUUUAAGUAUCAUUCCAUAAGGAGAUAUUUAGUGGUUAUAUGCUAUUCAUUGUAUGUAUAUGCCAUCAAUUCUUUUUAAGUUUAUUUUGAGAGAGAGAGGGAGAGAGAGAGAGAGAGAGAGAGAGAGAGAGAGAGAGGAGCAUGAGAAGGGGAGGGGCAGGGAGAGAGGGAGACACCUGCCGCCAGCACAGAGCUCGAUGUGGGGCUCGAUCCAAGGAACCAUGAGAUCAUGACCUGAGCGGAAAUCAAGAGUUAGAUGCUUAACCAACUGAGCCACCCAACCCCCUAUGCCAUCAAUUUUUAAAUUGCAAUUGGUGAGAAUUUAGAAGGUCUAUUUAUAUUUUUUCCCAUUAUCAGAUAACUCUGUAUACCUCCCCUGUUAUUUCCUUAGGAUACAUUUUCAGAAGAGUUACUAUGUCCAACCUUUUUACAUGUGGCAAAUUUCUCCUAUCAUGCAAGGUCUAUAUUACAGUAGACUACAUCUUCUGACUAUUUUUCUUACCAGGACCAAAACAAUGAAGGUAGUAGAUAAAAUUGAGAUUAUCACCAUUGUAUUUCUAAUUGGUAAUGAAUUUUGUGUUAGGGAUAAGGUGGGAGCAGCAUUAGAACUUUCGAUUAUCUCAAAAAAAAAAAAAAACUAACACAACAAGGAAGCAGGAAGUGGGGAAUGCAGAAUUAUUGUUUAAUUGGUUAUAGAGUUUCAAUUUUGUAAAAUAGAAUUCUGGUAAUGGAUGGUGGUAAUGGUUGCACAACAAUAUUAAUGUACAUAAUACCAUUAAACUAUACAUUUAAAAAUGGUUAAGUUAGUAAAUUUUACAUUAUAUGUCUUUUACCACAAAAAAAAACAGAAAUUGGGGGGAGAAAAUGACUAAGCAAAUGAAAAAGAUCACCACUACUUGUGUUGCAGAGGAGCUCAUUUGGAAAAAGGAAAUAGGCCCUCCAUAUUCCAUGACAUGGUUCUGAUAUUAUGGUAGAUGAGGCUAUAAUCAUAAUUAACAUUUAUAUGGUACUUUACAGUUUAUAGGUGCUUUUGUACACAUAAUUUCAUUGACAUAACAGCCUCAUGAAGUAGUUGAUUAUCAUCAUUUUGUAUAUGAGAACUCUGAGACAGCUCAAAUAACUGCCCAAGGUGAUAUAGCUGGCAAAGAGCAGAAGCAAGACAUCAUUCCAGGGCCGCACCCCCUUGUUUAAAGUGUCUCCCAUGAAAUACACUACCAAGAUGGCGGCAAGGCUAUUGUGCUGGCAAAACUAUCAAGUGUUUUCAUUUGACAAGUCAAAUGUGUCAUUUGUAACUGAAAAGAGCAAACCUGUAAAUAGCACUUAAAAGACUUAGCUUAGAAACACUUCUUUCUGUAACAGCUUUGGAUAAGUAAUAAAACAGUAAUUUUACUAAUAUUCAUAACAAAUGAUACUCCCCACUGUUGAACCCUUAUUUCAUGUUUUUGGCACUUUUGGAUAUUGAGUUAAGUUUUUAAAUUCUCCCUCUCUAAUAUAUUUAUCAUCCUAAAGGGGAACACAUGCAACAUCACCAGGUAUCAGUGUGGCCAGGCAAGGUCAUACAUAGGGAGAGGAACUGAGCCCACAAUAAUUUAGAGUCAACAGUUUCUCUCUUCACUAUCUCCCAUCCAAUUAAAUACAAAAAGAAAUGUUACAUUUUUCCAAAUUAAAUAUUAGCAUAAACAUAGAUUUUUUUUAAUGUAGAUAUUCCCUUGCUCCCUAAAUUUUCUUCGCCUAUUUUUUGGGUGCAGGAUCUGAUCAAAGAUUAACAAGCUGUUAUUGGCUCUUAUAUCUAUCCAAUAUCAUCUUCAAUUUUGAUAGAUGAUUCCUCCAACUUUUCAAGAUUUCUUAGAGUUUUGUCUUUGAUGAUUCCUGAAUAAUUUAAUCUAACAAGCAGUAGUUUUGGUAAACAGAAAUCUGAUCUGUGAGAUUUAUUUUGCCUGUGAGCCCAUUUGUCUUUGGAAUUAAAAGUAUCAAUAGAUAUCAUGAACAUUUCUUGUUCUCAUAUAUUGACUAAACUCAUGCCUUUAAUACACUUUUUAUGGACCUGCUCUGUGCCUAGUUCUACAAAACUAAAUAAGACAUGGUUCCAUGGACUCUCAUUAUAUUAAUAAAUAGAAAAACUAACACAUACUAUUAAUUAAAAUGAAAUAGAGUAAGUGCAAUACUAUAAGUAUAUGCACAUACUCUGGGGUCACAGAAGUAUUAUAUUUGCUCCUAUGAGUAAGAGAAAGCUUCACAAAGGAAGAAUCAUCAGAGUUGGGACUAAAAGGAUGAACAAUUUUUCUUAAAGAAAGGGAUGGGAAGGUUUAUGCACAUAUAUUAUUUUGUCCCUUGUUUUAUGAUUAGAUAUUUUUCUUCGAUUAUAGUAUGAAAUCACACAAUAUCAUAUACUCUGACUGUAACAUUACAAACAUCUUUAGGGGCACCUGGAUGGCUCAAUCAGUUGAGUCCAACUUUCGCUCAGGUCAUGAUCUCGCAGUUAGUGAGUUCAAAUCCCCUGGCAGGCUCUGCUGUCAGAGCAGAGCCCGCUUUGGAUCCUCUGUCUCCCUGUCUCUCUCUGCCCCCCCCCUCCUUGCUCUCUCUCUCUCAAAAAUCAAUAAACAUUAAAAACAUCUUUAGAUUUCAUAGCAUUCUCUGUAAAUUCACCAAACUAUCAUCGUUCACUGCACCUGCCAUUGAGUAGAAUUCAUUGUUGAUCAAUAAACAUUAAGCUUAAUUGUGAAGCUCCUUGAUUAAUUUACCACUGCACUGGUAGUGUGAGGAUGCCCAGCUGCAGGGGACACCAUUUAUAUGAACACUUCCCUUGGGGUCCCUAGGCAGUCUUCUGCAUACUUAUGUAUUUAUGGUAUUUAUCUCCCUCUACUUUGUACACAAUUCUAUUUUAAUACUGCAUUUUCCUUUCCAGUUGAACUAUACUUAACGCAGUAGAAUUUUAAGAAAAAAAAAAUUCUUCCUAGUAUUUAUGAUAGCUACUGCUCCAGUUAAUUUGGUUAAAUAGAAUUUCUGGAACAGUAGUUAUGAUUUUCUAAGAUACUGUAUCAUCGCCUUUCUUAAUUUCUUAUGCUACUUAUAUAAUAUGGAUCACCGCACAAUGUAAAUCCCCAUUAUAUACUUGAUGUUGAUGGUUUCUGGUCAGUUGAUGUAUGCCAGGUUUUUUCAGAAAUCAUACCAGCUUUGAGAUUCCUGAGCAACUAUGCUGUAUAUUCUUCUUUAGCCAUUAAUUGAAUUUUGAAAAGGAAUUUGAUAUAUUUCUAAUUUCUUUUUUCAUGGUAAAUCAGGGCAUAAAUCAUCUAUUCUCUACAAUCCUGAAUGGUAUCAACUGUGCUUGUUCUUUGUUAAUAAAUAUUUCAAGUUAUCUUAAACUAUGCUUAGAUAUUUUUACAUAUCUCAAACAAAUGGAUAAUAGACCAAUAGUUAGAUGGUUCUCCUCUACAGUCUUACUUCUUGUUUUUUCCAGAGUUUUAUAUUGGAUCUCCUCUACCCCAUUAGAUUCCUUUAACUUUGAUCUGUCUGCCUAGCAAGGACUCUAAACAAUAGCAUUCUCCUUGAUUUAGAUUUUAGCCCAUCAGAGGCUGUGUACUUUUUGAAGAAAAGGAAAUUCACUUAAACAGAGUGGUUUGCACAUUAAAUAUUAGCUCAUAAGAAUGAGUUCUGCAGGACUUUCCAGCUCUAGGAUUCCGUGUGUAUAAUGGCAGAAUGAAAACAACAGAUUGUAAUUGUAUGAAUGUCAUCUGUGUUAUGUCAAAGAGAAAAACAACUUCGUCCUGAAUCAGAUCAAAUAGAACAGUCCAAAAAAUUUUAAUAGAGGUGAAAACUUAGCCAAUUAAUUGAAUUGGUUAGAUAUUAUUUUUCAGUGGUUAGAUAACACAUACUGAAAUUAAAUUUUCUAAAAAAAUAUUAAUUAGUACCUUCCCAAGGGCUUUUUUUUUUAAACAUUUACUUAUUAUUUUUAAGAGACAGAAGGAGACAGAGCAUGAGCAGGGGAGGGGAAGAGAGAGGGAGGGGGACACAGAAUCUGAAACAGGCUCCUGGCUCUGAGCUGUCAGGACAGAGCCCAAAGUGGGGCUCAAACCCAUGAAUUGUAAGAUCAUGACCUGAGCCUAUCAGACGCUUAACUGACUGAGCCACCCAGGCGCCCCAUUCCCAAGGGCUUUUGAAUCCCAUCAGAUUUAUUUGAUUUUUUGGAGUCUUUUGCAAUAUGGCACAUCUGUGCUGAGGGGUCUGCACAGAGUCAUGUGUGAUCUCCCCACUAUAAUAUUUCUGUGCGGGGUUUCUCACAUAUUGACCUGCCCCCUGACAAAACAGGAGGUCAUGGUAACUAAGAAACCAGUGAUUUUGCCCUGAACACAGAUAGAGGAAAGCAGAUUUUUCCGUCAGGGGAUCAGCCUUUUUCCAAUUUUUAGUGGAGAACUUCUCUGUAAAUUAUUCAGGAACAAACUGAGCCUUGGUCAAUGCAAAACCAAAAAUAUCAAUGAAUUAUUUUUUUAAGACUUGAAAAGAGCGGCCGCUUUCCUGCAUUCAGGAAAAUAUGUCCAUCUUCUUGUAAUUUAUAUGCAGUUGCAGGGAAUUGCCUAGAGUGUUUCAUUAGCAACAUGUUGUCCCCUGCAGGGGCAAUAAUUCACCUAGUACACUCUUAUUCUCUUCCUAAGCAAAUCUGGGGAUGAAUAACAAUAAUGAUUUUUAUUUUCAUUUCAGUCUUUAGAAAUCCUCCGUUAUUCCUACUCUGCUCUAGUUCUCUGGAAUGAUGAAUGAUGACCAUUUAUAACCUAGCAUACUGAAAGUGUCAUGAUCUCAUUGUUCGUGGGUUCGAAUCCUGCGCCAGGCUCGGUGCUGGCAGUGUGGAGCCUGCUUGGGAUUUUCUCUCUCCCUCUGUCUCUCUGCCCCUGGCCCACUCACUCAUGCGUUCUCGGUCUCUCAAAAAAAAAAAAAAAAGAUUAAAGAAAAAGAAACGCAAAUUCCCAGGCACUAUCCUAGUCCUGCUGAGUAAGAAACUCCAGGCCCUUCUGAGUUUUAUAAGCCCUCCAACUGAUUUUGAUAAUCGUUUGCAUAAGAACCACAAUUCUUGCUCUGCAGUACUGAUACACCUUCACUUCCUGUUCACUCUUCCUCCCACAGGCCCUUCAGCCUCAUUUCUUCCUCAAAGCUUCGUCCUGGCUCCUUCAACCUCCCUCUUUGCAUUCUUCCCCCGAGGAGAUCUCACUCAUCCCUUAGUGGGAUCUCACCCAUUUCUAAAAGAAAAAAUCUAUUGACAUGGAGUGAUCAUUACCUAAUAGCAAUAGCCUCUUCUGGACUUCUCAGUAAAUGCCAAAUCUCACCUCAGUGGCCUGUUCUUUUCAGAAGUUUCUCUAAUGCUGAAUGGACUCAUAUUAAACCUCUUAUCUGAUGGCAAUAAAAGUUAACCCUUGUUGAGCAAUUAAUAUGUACUGUCCCAAACAUAUGUGUAUAUUAUGUCAUUCAAUCCUCACUACAACUCUAUGAGGCAAGUAACAUUAAUAAUCCAUUUCCCAGGUAAGCAAAUUGAGGCACAAAGUAGCUAAGCAAGAGCUCAAGGUCAUACAGGCAAGAAGUAGUAGAGAGUAUAUUAAAAGCCAAUGGUCUAAGAGAUGAUUGUUACUCAGCAAGUAAGAAAAACCUAGUCUUAUAAAGCAAACAGGAAAUUAAGCACUUUUCCUUCUGCCAUAUGAAGACCAUAAUGGAAUUUUUCCUAAAAGAUUGUCUUAAAAAGCAGGAGAUGCACCUUAAAAUUUAUGUAUUCUAAAUUGGGGGGGGGGGGGGGNNNNNNNCCCCCAGGCAGUGACCUUUAUUACUAAGAUUUGAUUUGGAAGCCAAUUUUUAUAGCUCAGUUAAAAACUGCUAAACCCAGUCACUUAUAUAAUAGAAAUGCUGACGUGACCUUAAUUCUAGAGGUGCAAAGGGUAUAAUUGAAUUUAAGAACAAUGUACCUCAUCCAUUAAGUCAUUAAAUAGAUCGUAAUAAUCUGACACAUUUGGUAAGUACUACAUGAAAGUGGUUAACAAUGGUAUGCAAAUAAAAUGAGCUUACACGAUUAGCUGCUUGCUGUAUUUUCGGUUGUGUUUGCCAAAUAUAACAUUAAAUUACAAUACAGUCAUUUAGAAAAUGUUAUGGCAAUAUAUUUUAAAUGUUCCUGAACAUGAUGCCAACAUAAAGAAAGGGAAUGUUAGAAUCUCCAGGAUAUUGCCAAGUGCCUGUGUGUAAUUCAGAUAGCUUUAUAUUUACAGUUAAUAGAAUUAAACUUAAUCAGGAAUACAUCCUUUUGAACCAAACUUCUGGAGUUGCCCUGGUGAGAUAGUGCAUCUGAUUGAAAAGUAUAUAUAAAGAUGCCAACUAAAUGCUAAAGUCAGAUCAUUCCUCCCCAUAGAUGAAUAUUUGGCACUGCUGAGAAAAAACAUCCAGAUGUUUGGCAUCAUAUAGCCAAAUACCUAAAUCCGAGUGAAAUCAUGAGUUAAACACACACUUAGGGAAUUGAAUCAAUGGAGACAUCCAGUGAGGCUCGUUUUAGCUCAAACAAAAUAAAACAAAGCCAAAACAAAAUUUCUUGAGGGCAGGGCUAGAAAUCUGAAUUUUCAAUUCAUAUUGUCUCAAUUCUUCAUUUAAUCUGACUAUUUAUAGGACCAGUAAUGAAGCGUACUAAUCAUUUCAGUGUAAUAGAGAAUCCAGUAGAGCAAAACACUGGGCUUCAGAACUCUGACAAUUAUUUUAAUCAGAUCUUCUGUUUUAUUUCCUUAUGCAAAUGCUAAUAUAACAAAUAAGAGUUAGUAAAUAAUAGUAUAUCUAAUAAAUUAUCCAGGUUCUUACCUGCUGGUCACAAUAAUUGCUAAUAUAUUCAAAUGCCUUAUGUUAUAUUUAUGCAUGGGCAACAAGCCAUGGAAAUGAAUAUACGCAUUUAUAUAAGAGAUAUAUAACAUGGUGACAUAAAAAUCAAAAAGGUCAAAAAUCGCUGUCCUAGUAAAAGAAAUAAAAAUAAUUAAGGGUUUAAAUUGAAUAUAAGUGACUCAAUUAGUAGGAUAGAUCAAUUACAAAAAUGACUCCUAUUUUCCCCCUUCUUACUACAUGUCUGUACAUCUCUUCCCAUCAUGAUGUGGCAUUUAUUUGUCCCACCUCUUGAACUGAACUGUCCUGCAACUUGACCUCUAGAGUGUGGUUGAUAUGAGGGGGUGUCACAGUUAACGGAGGCCUCAAGAGACAUUAUGCACCCUCACUUACUCUCUUGUUCCUGUUCCUUUGCCCUGAGAAUAACUCUGAGCUAGCCUGCUGAAGAAUGAGAGAUCCUGUGAAAAAGAGCCAAAUCGUCCCCACUGGAGACAUCCUAACCCACCAGUUUAGCACAGAUACAUAAGCAAGACCAAGAAGAGCUGAGCCUGGCACAGACCAGCACAAUCCACCCCGCUGAUCGGUAAGGCUUAUGGCAAAUAAUAAAUGGCUGUUUAAGCCAAUGGCUGUUUUAAGCCAAUGCAUAUUUCUUAUGCAGCAAUAGAUAACUGAUAACAAUCAGUGUCAGACAAUAUUUCUAUAGCAAAAUAAUGCAAAUAUGGUUAUCUCUAAAUAUUAAUGAUUCUUGAAUUUACAUACAUUUGUGAUAUUUUUAGUGCACUGUCACAGUCUUGCUUGUGUAAUAAAGAGGACAAAUGUGAUUAUCCCAAUUUUAAAGAUAAGACAAUUAGACAGGAAAAUGAAAUCACACAGCUAGCUAUUACUGAGGUGAGGAGUAGGGGUAAGGAUAGAGUAAAGUGUAGAAUCCAGUUCUCUCUAAAUCCACAUCAAUUUCGAAUAAUCCUUAUGAUCUUAGCUGGCUUCACUGUGAAUUUGACUUAAGGAUAAAAAUAUCAGCAUCAUGGUACCCCAGCUAACAUGGCAGGUUCCAUCUUCACCAUUAGAAAAACUAGGGUAUCACUGCCUCCAAAAAAAUCUACUAAAACAGAAAAUGAAAAUAUCCCCAAAAACCCACAGGAAAUUUAAUAUUAAUUGUUGUUCUUGUUAUUAUUUUGUUGUUGAAUGUCUUAGGCUUCUGUAUUUAUCCUUCAUAGAGAUAAAAAGGGAGCAGGAGGAAAAUUCACCUCUCUUACUUUAAUGUCAAACUUUGAACUACUUAAUAAACCAAUUAAAUGAAAGAUUCAGAAAGUACCAAUCUUUACAUUGAGAUAACCACUGAGCAAUCAAUGAUAAUUAAAAAAAUCAAUUGGUCUUCUGUAGUAAUUAAAUUUGUCCACUUAGAUAUAAUUGAUAUUGUUCGCAACUAAUUAUCCAAGUAAAGGCUCUGAGGGACUCUUAGAGACUAAAAGAUUGAGCCAAAGAGUCUUCCUAAUUUGAAAUUGGACCGAAUGCCAUGUUUUCUCAAAAACCGAUUAAGUCUUCCCUAGAAACAUAGUAUUGAACAAACUCAAAUACAGUCAGGAAAUCAGUAUUAAAUUAGAGGCAGUUUAGCAUACUAUCUUGUACUCUCUGUGUGACCGAGGGCUAAUCACUUAACCCCUGUGUUUCAGCCCCUUCAUCCAUAAAAUGGAGAUAAUACCAAUGUCUACCUCAUGGAGUUGCUAUAAGCAUAAGUUAUUAGUAGUAAAAUAUUUAGAACAGUAAGAUGUGUGUUCAUGUCAUUAUUAGUUGUCCCUUGGUACCCUUUGGAAAGAAUGGACAGAUAGUCACCCAUCACAAGUUUAUUCCCAGGUUUUAUUCUCACCUGUGUCUAAUUCCUGUGGGCAGUUUACAUUCAAGGAUUACUUCCGCCCUUCCCAUCUUUGAGAAUCAAUUGUUCUUCUUGAGAUAAAAGGUGGCUAAAAUAGGGGAAAAGGAAGUUCACAUGUGCCGUGUGGCAUAUCUGAUUACAAGUUAUUAAGCCAAUCCUUCCCUCUCUCUCAUAAGCAAUUCAUUUCCCAGCACCAUAGGGGAGGAAUAAUAAAAUAAAAUACAGGAUGAUCUCAUCACUGAUGCUUAGCAUUUGUAUAUUCACUUAAAAAGGUGGCAGAGCAAUUUACUACAGCCCUCAGGCGGCCUAAAUGACAUGUUAGCAAGUUAUAUAGAUACGCUAUUACCUAUUUAUUCUGAGAUUCAAUGCAAAAAUGUCAAGGAGAUCCCUACUUAAGUACACUAAAUUACUGACUCCUGGGGCUAGAAAGUACUGGGAGAAGCUAUUAGCUAUUGAACCCAUCUCCUGGAUAAGAAUCUAUGGCGCGUAUAGAUGCGAACCUUUCCGAAAUCUAGAGAAAGCUAUUAAACUAUCUUCUACGUUAAGAUCCUCACUCUUCCAGGAAAUUCUUUUCAAGGUGUUCUGGCAUCAGCAUAAGUACAUGUGCAUUUGUUCUCUCAUUUGAUGGUAUGAAAACAGCUGGUGAGGCUUCUGACCCAUGCAGCAUUUCUUUGAAUUCUCUCCUUCAUCCCAAACCUGUAUUUCCCAGUACCAAUAGUGAUGUGGAGAAGAAAGGCAAAAGAAAUGUAGAUAAAAUUAAAUUUUCUUAUAACCUGCAGCCCACUGACAAAUACUGGAGACAAGCACAUUCCUCCAGGAACUCCCAACUGUCUUAAUGUUAAUGCUUUGCUAGAGGGAAAAACAACCUUAGCUUGACCACAGCUAGGCCUCCAGGAUCCUGUAAGUCUUCUUUAACAUAUGAAAGUCCUUUUAGAAACUUCCCUAUCUUUACCUCCCCCAACUCCCAAGUGUAUAAUCAGUUGCUCUUCACAAUCCCAGUGCAGGGUCCUGUCCCUGUGCUUUAAUAAACACCAUUUUCACAUCAAAAAUGUCUCAAAAAUUCUUCCUUGGCCAUUAGCUCAGAACCCUAACACUUCAAACCACAUCGAUAGCACAGCUUCAUCUGAAUAACAUCCACUUAUCCUAUAAGGAUUAUUGUCUUCUAUCCUAUAAGGUUACUGUCGUCUAAUAUGAGAUUAAAUUAAGAAUAUCCUAUACACUCUGGUUCUGAAAAUGCAGGAAUCAUCGCUUGAGCUUUGCAAUCCAACUAUGCCUUCUCUAACCUUCUAAAAUAUCCACCAGUCAAAUAAGCAUUAAUCAAAAAAAGUGUAUCUGAGGUCAGAUACAUCUCUAUUAUUACUUCCAAUAGUGAGUGAGUUAAGCUAUCUGGCCAAGAAUCAGAACUCAAGCAGAAGGCCAGCAACAGAUGAAAAGAGCACAGUUCAUGGUGUUGCCCAACCAUAAGGCAAGCUGAGGGCAAAGCACAAGCUAGCACUCCUCCCCGGUGGGACAUGUGUGAUAUUCCUCAGGCACUCCCUGGUGCCCAAGAACAAAGGAAAGGAAAGAAAACAAAUGGUUAACUGAUAGAGAUCAUAGUAAUGCAAGACAUGAGUCUUCAUCAGUGUACAUAUGUCUUAGUAAAUUACAAGAAAAAGGCAAUCUUAUCAAGAGCCUAAUCUCCAGAAACCUAUACACUCAGUUUCCUGGAGUCCUAAUAUCACUCUCCGCUCACUAGUGAUGUGGGGGAACAAAGGCAAGAAAGAAAUGGCAGGUAAAAUUAAAUUUCCUUAUAACCUGCACCCCGUUGACAAAUACGGCAAAUACAGAGUAUAAUAUUUCUCCAGGAACCCACUACUGUCAUAAUAUUAAUGACUUACUAGAAGAAAAACAACUUUAGCUUGACAAUAGCAAGGCGUCAGGUAUCUACUGAAUCCUUUUUAGCAUAUCAACUCCUUCUGAAGACCUCCCUUUUGUCUUUACCUCACCCAAUUCCAUAGUAUAUAACCAUUUACUCUUCAAAACCCCAGUGCAGAUCUUUCUGCGGGUCCUGUCCCCAUGCUUUAAUAAAAUCACCUUUUUUGCACCAAAGAUGUCUUCAAGAAUUCUUUCUUGGCCAUCAGCUGCUAACCCCCAUCACUCCAAAACCCCAUCAAUGGCACUUUGGAGCUCCUAAGUAAAUGCAAAAUUGAAUACAAGUAGAUGUAUGAGUAAAAUAUAACCAAAAACAAACUGUCAAGUUUUGGGGGGUUUUUUUUAGAUUUUAUUUUUUUACUGAAAAACAAUAUUUUUUCAGUGUAUAUUAAUAAAUAUGAAUUUUAAUGACAUUGGGAAGAAAUGGAGGUAGAUGCAUGUGCUCAAGCUGCCAUUUUGAAACCAUCCUCUUAAUACCAUAAUUAAAUAAUUAAUAAUUAAUUAAAAAUUCAUAAUUAUUAAUAUAGCCAGACAACAAGAAAAGGAGCUAGUAUCAGACCAGAAAGUUGCAAGAACUAUUAGACAGAAAAGCAGGAUAAAAACUAAAAGAGAAAACAGAAUAGGGAAAUCUGCAGCCCAAAUAAUCAAAAGGUAAGAAAAGUCUUUCUCUAGGAAGCCAUGGUCCUGGGGUAGCUCUUUCUGCCCAUGAGGCCUGUCCCCGUGCUUUAAUAAAAUCACCUUUUGGCACCAAAGAUGGCUCAAGAAUUCUUUCUUGGCCAUUGGCUCCUGAGGACCCCACUAUCACCCCAAAAAUUUCAUCAUGUAGCACCCACCUCUGACAGGCAAUCUCCACCUCAAAGUCUGUUUCCAGGGGACUGACCUAUGAUACUGACUUAGCCUUAUGAAAUAUACCUCAAGGAAACAAAAGAAUUGAUGAUUAUUUCUCAAUAAUAAAUAGAAAAAGAAUAAUGUAGUAAAACAAACACCAUUUUGCAGACUUCUAAUUAAAUAAUGGAUGUAGGUAGGGGAGCCUGGGUGGCACAGUCGGUAAGGCGUGAUCUCGGCUCAGGUCGUGAUCUCACAGAUUGUGCGUUCGAGUCCCACAUCAGGCUCUGCACUGAUAGUGUGGAGCCUGCUGGGGAUUCUGUCUGUCCUUCUCUCUGCCCCUCCCCUGCUUGUGCAUGCAUGCAUGCUCUCUCUCUCUCUCUCUCUCUCUCUCAAAAUAAAUAAGUAAACUUAAAAAUUUUUUUUAAAAAUUAAAUAAUGGAUCUAAGCAAUGAUCAUCUGGUAUCACAAAAAGAUAGACAACUAGAUAUUAUAUACCACAUAUUACCCACCACCAUCUACAAAGAACUCUUGCAAAAAAAAUUUAACCUGAAUUAGAUUACAUCUCCAUAUCCAACUACCAGUUUAUAAGUACAGGGACAGAAAGCCAUGUUAAAUAAUACUAUAGAGAUACAAUUUUUAAAAUCUGGAAUGUAGAAGCCUCAACCAGAUAACCAAAUUUCCUCAAUAAAUAAGGGAGGGAGAAACCCAUCAAUAUCCUAUCUAGUGUCUGAUCCAAAACAAUACACACAUAUAAAAAAAUCAUGAGACAAUCAGAGAAAUCUGAACCCUUAUUAGAUAGUUAAUAAUAUUAAAGAGAUGCUAUUAAUUGUUUUAGGUAUAAUUAUAGUAUUGCACAUACAUUUUCUGGAUCUUUAUCUUUUUACAGAUAUAUACCAAAAUAUUUACCAAUGAAAUGUUUUGAUGUCUGAGAUUUGCUCUAAAAUCAUUGAAGAAGUGGAGGUGAGGCAGAAUGGGUAAAGGUGCAGAUAAAAUAAUACUGGCCAUGAGAUGAUAACUGUUGAAGCUGACUGAUGAUACAUGGAAGUUCAUAAAAAUA
This 21809-nucleotide long non-coding RNA is filed under the name Lynx pardinus (Iberian lynx). The record is from RNAcentral. Lineage: Eukaryota; Metazoa; Chordata; Mammalia; Carnivora; Felidae.